Long non-coding RNA from Haplochromis burtoni (Burton's mouthbrooder), 1476 nucleotides. RefSeq lists it as uncharacterized. The record is from RefSeq and is a predicted model, not a curated record. NCBI's taxonomy places the organism in Eukaryota, Metazoa, Chordata, Actinopteri, Cichliformes, Cichlidae. The transcript is spliced from 4 exons.
ACUGGAGAUCACAGAUUAUAUUAAAAUAUAUUUGCUGAGGCAAGAAAACUUAAAAAGCACAGUCUUUGUUCUAAGUGUCACAUUUGCUUUGUUCUUUAUCUAUGAAAGCAGACGAGGCCUCUUGUAUCACGCACAUGUGAUGAUACCAUGCUCUGACAGGAAACAGCCUCUAAAAUGGAAAGCGGCUGUUAGCUGAAUGUGAUGACAACGGUGAAGAAGAAGAUGGCUUCUGCUGCCACCAUCGCUGUGGUUCUGCUCUGCUGCUUCAUCACUGCCUCCACAGAAGGAAAACAUUUGUAUGAUCAAAUGAUUUAUGGAUGGUAAACAGUUGGCAGAAAAAGACAAGACACUGACGAGAGUAGGCAAAGACGUGGUAAACGCCCAUUUCUCUUGCAAUAUUUCUAACACCAUCGGCUCUGAGAUCAGUCUGCCUGUUCAACAAAUCUGCUAUAAGCCCGUUUUUCCCUGAAACAAUGACAGAAAUCUGGCUUUUACUGGGUUGUUACGCAGUUACUCUUCUGGUCAUCCUAAUUGUCAUCGUUCGUUGUGUCAGCACCAGACCAAAAGAGCAUGUGCGGCCAAACGGUGAGAAUUUAUUUGUUUAUUUUUAGUUAUUUUAAAACCACUGCAUAUAAUCUGUUAGUUACUUAAGAAGCUUCAUUUCAGUCUAAUCUUCUGAAAGGUUACCUGUGGAGCUCCCCAAGGUGCAGUGCUAGGACCACUAUAUUUAUAUUUAGACUUAAGUUAAUGUAAUGGUAGCAGGUUAAAGACAUUUCAAACUGCAGAUGACUCAAAUAUAUUUUGAAAAUAUUGUUAAAUUAUGGACGAGGCAUCUAAACCUGAUCUUUCAAAAAAGCCAUGCUGCAAAUGGAAGCAAUGCUCUUACUUAUUUAAGAUGAUAACACUUAACUAGAGCCUUGUUUUUUUUUAAAAUUUUACUGACGUAAUGAUUUAGCGGCCUAAAACUGCAGGGUCACAUAGCUACAGAAAUCACCUCUGUCGUGUCACAUAGGAUGGGUGGGGGUCUGAUCCAAAUUCCACAUGAACCAUGUAACUCCAGCACACCACAACGUUGUCUUAGUUGUGUAUGUUUACUGCAAAGGAGAUGAAAUUAUUUUUAUUUAUCCUUUUUUUAAAAAAAAUCCUUUUGUGUUUAGUUGACACAACCCCAUCAAAGCCAUUUUCUCAGUAAUAGCAGGUUUUACCUUUUUUCUUUCCAACACUUUAAGAGAUGAUGAUAUAUUUGUUGCUGAUUUUGUACCACUGGACAUAAUAUAAAAUAAAUCUAAUAUAAGAUUCGUAUAACCAAAGUUCAGACGAUGUGCAGACGCUUGCAGUGAUUAAAAAGUGCACGGGGAAGUCAUAAGUCACAUUUAUAGUAGUAGAACGUGUGGGCCGCCUCCCAAAACCUCUUCAGUGAUUCCCUUUAAAAAUGUCAAACCUAAAAUGACACAACUGUAUAUUUCUGGAUUUAUA